UACGUAGGGGGCAAGCGUUGUCCGGAAUCAUUGGGCGUAAAGCGCGUGUAGGCGGCCCGGUAAGUCCGCUGUGAAAGUCGGGGGCUCAACCCUCGGAUGCCGGUGGAUACUGUCGGGCUAGAGUGCGGGAGAGGCGAGUGGAAUUCCUGGUGUAGCGGUGAAAUGCGCAGAUAUCAGGAGGAACACCAAUGGCGAAGGCAGCACUCUGGGACGUGACUGACGCUGAGACGCGAAAGCGUGGGGAGCAAACAGG
Molecule: ribosomal RNA, 253 nt
Filed under: uncultured bacterium
Lineage: Bacteria
Description: partial 16S ribosomal RNA
Rfam family: Bacterial small subunit ribosomal RNA
Source: RNAcentral